Molecule: transfer RNA, 88 nt
Filed under: Clostridia bacterium
Lineage: Bacteria; Bacillati; Bacillota; Clostridia
Description: tRNA-Leu
Rfam family: tRNA
About the family: Transfer RNA (tRNA) molecules are approximately 80 nucleotides in length. Their secondary structure includes four short double-helical elements and three loops (D, anti-codon, and T loops). Further hydrogen bonds mediate the characteristic L-shaped molecular structure. tRNAs have two regions of fundamental functional importance: the anti-codon, which is responsible for specific mRNA codon recognition, and the 3' end, to which the tRNAs corresponding amino acid is attached (by aminoacyl-tRNA synthetases). tRNAs cope with the degeneracy of the genetic code in two manners: having more than one tRNA (with a specific anti-codon) for a particular amino acid; and 'wobble' base-pairing, i.e. permitting non-standard base-pairing at the 3rd anti-codon position.
Source: RNAcentral
GCCGGUGUGGUGAAACUGGCAGACGCGCUGGACUCAAAAUCCUGUGGACUAACCCUCCGUGACGGUUCGAGUCCGUCCACCGGCACCA